CGUGCCUUUUCUAUUCUCACCACUGCAGGACUCUCAUAGCCUCAGUCAUCACCACCACGAACCCCCCCCCUCUCAUACACGUCGUGCUUGACGGCCUACAUUACACCCUCUCCCUUUCCUUCCUCUCGUUAUUUCCACCCCUCUCCCCGCCUUGACCCUCGGCCCUCGAUGGAGCUCACAAAAAAGCAGGUGAAGAUCCCGCCCAUCCACAAGCUGCGGCCAGGUUGGUCUGCAGUGGCGCUGCACACAGUCAUUUAUCUUCUCCGCCACGACUUCGUCACAGCCAUUGUUGCCACUUUUGUUGUGCAGCCGCUGUACCACCGGCUGAUUCUGCAGAGUACCUAUCUGCAGCGGCUCUCUGACCCCGCCCUCUUCACGCUGGUUUUUGCGGUGCUCUGUCACUGCGUUCCGUGGGCCUUCUUCAACGGCAUCUUCCUCUUCUUUGACAGCCUCCACCCCCAGUAUGGGAUCGAGGGCCUCAGAAACAACGCCCUGCUGGCCCCGCUUGGCCGCAGAAUGGCAAUGUACAAGCUUCCCCGGAAGCCGCAGCAGCUGCCAUCAGCAGCGCUCAUCUUCAGCACCAUGUUACACACCGCGUUCAAUCACUAUCUGGUUAUUCCAGUUGUGCUCUAUGCGUACCUGGUGCACACAAACUCAUGCGCUCUGCGCGCCCCACCGCCGGAGACGGUGAUUGUCGGCUUCACACCAGAAGACGUAGUCAACUACAUGAGCGGUCGCAACCUGAAGCAAAUUCCGAUUAGCCUGGUCACCAUCACGUCGCACUUCCUGAUCGCCAACGUAAUUAACGAGAUGGGCUUCUACAUUGUCCACAGCAUCCUGCAUUCGAGCCCCACGCUGUACCGUCUGUUUCACAAGAAGCAUCACAUGUACACGGGCACCAUAAGCAUCGCUGCAGAAUACGCCACGCCGUUGGAGGAGAUUCUCGCAAAUGCAAUCCCCACUACUGCGUACUUCGCGUUUAUGUUUUUCCACUACACGCGCGAGGAAGCAUCGAAGUCGAGCUUCGUCACCUCAGCGCGGGCGUGGCCUCUCUUUAUUACGUGGAUGUGGGCGCGCCUCUGGGAGACAUACGAGGUGCAUAGCGGUUACUGUUUCAGCGACACGUGGCUGGGCAAGCUUGGCCUACUGCAUGGGCACCGUGCCCGCUUCCACGACUUCCACCAUACGCACAACGUCUGCAACUACGGCAGCGGCCUCUUCAUGGACGCGCUGCUCAAUACGAUGGAUCCAUACCUGAUCUACCGCUACCCAGACAAGCACCCGCGCACGACGACGCUGAGGGAAGAGGAUUUGAAGGAGCCGCGCGAUCUGCAAGCGGGCAGUGAAGCGAUGGACCAGGUGCGCGCGUGUUCGUAAAGGUGCUCAGGCACGAACGACUUCACGGGCAACAUAAAGUCUGCUGUUGCCCGAGUAUUGAACCUUCCGGGCUCACUUUCUGUUUUUGUUGCGUUUUUCUUUGUCUACAGAGGCAAUGCUCACAGAGUCCUCCGGUAGUUUUUGUAGCUGAUCUCCUUUUCUCCUGAUGAUGCCGGCCACCCGACCGUGGUAUCGGGGUAGAGUGCCCACACUGUAGGACCGCCACGAGCCUGCACCGCCUGCCCUCGGGUACGGCUGCGGACUCCUGGUGCCGGCAGACAAGUCUGGGCUGGCGCUGUGCCAAAGAGACUUGCGGCCAUGAUGAGGAUUGGACCAGCUCACUCCGAGCUGUGCCGACGCUCCGGCAAAUAUGCGCAUCCGUCUGCUGCUUUUUUUUCUCCGUGUGCUUCGUUGCGGUGAUGUCGGGCUUAAUCCUGUGCCUAGCCGAUGUUUUUGGUGCUCUCACUCACCGCUCUCGACCCAAAUGGCCAUCCUCAGUCUUUCACUCGUCCUCGCUGUGUGCUAUCUUCCUUUCGCUUGUAUCUUCUCACGUCCUCUAACUCACGCAG
This 1946-nucleotide unclassified non-coding RNA is filed under the name Leishmania donovani. RNAcentral's name for it is "gene:LdHU3.36.3630(CDS-product:C-4_sterol_methyl_ oxidase_putative)". The record is from RNAcentral. Lineage: Eukaryota; Euglenozoa; Kinetoplastea; Trypanosomatida; Trypanosomatidae.